RNAcentral lists this ribosomal RNA (439 nucleotides) under uncultured bacterium. RNAcentral's name for it is "bacterial SSU rRNA". It matches the Rfam family "Bacterial small subunit ribosomal RNA", at positions 340 to 773 of the family's 1533-position model. The record is from RNAcentral.
UACGGAAGGCAGCAGUGGGGAAUAUUGCACAAUGGGCGCAAGCCUGAUGCAGCCAUGCCGCGUGUAUGAAGAAGGCCUUCGGGUUGUAAAGUACUUUCAGUCGUGAGGAAGGUGUUAAGGUUAAUAACCUUAGCAAUUGACGUUAGCGACAGAAGAAGCACCGGCUAACUCCGUGCCAGCAGCCGCGGUAAUACGGAGGGUGCGAGCGUUAAUCGGAAUUACUGGGCGUAAAGGGCACGCAGGCGGUUAAUUAAGUUGGAUGUGAAAUCCCCGGGCUUAACCUGGGAAUGGCAUUCAAGACUGGUUAGCUAGAGUCUUGUAGAGGGGGUAGAACUCCAUGUGUAGCGGUGAAAUGCGUAGAGAUGUGGAGGAAUACCGGUGGCGAAGGCGGCCCCUGGACAAAGACUGACGCUCAUGUGCGAAAGCGUGGGGAGCAAAC